GUCUGUAUGGUUUUAUAUAAAGUCUAGCCUGCCCACUGAAUUGUUGAAGGGCCGCGGUAAUUUGACCGUGCGAAGGUAGCAUAAUCACUAGUCUCUUAAUUAGAGGCUUGAAUGAACGGCUGGAUGAGGGAUAUAGUGUCUUUUAUUUUAUUUACGAAUUUAACUUUUAAGUGAAAAGGCUUAAAUANUUUAGUGGGACGAUAAGACCCUAUAAAACUUGAUUUAGCUUAGUAUUAGUUACUAAUUUUUUUUAAAGUUGUUAUUAUUGNGUUGAAUUUUGUUGGGGAGACAUUAAUAUAAAAAGUAACUGUUAUUUAAAUUUAAUAAUUAUAAUUAGUUUUUGAUCCUUUAUUAGAGAUUAUAAGAUUAAGUUACUUUAGGGAUAACAGCGUAAUUUCCUUUGAGAGUCCUUAUCGACANGGUUAGUUGCGACCUCGAUGUUGAAUUAAAAUUUCUGGAAGGGGUAGUCUUUUUCCUAGUGGGUCUGUUCGACCUUUAAAAUUUU
Molecule: ribosomal RNA, 505 nt
Filed under: Phyllognathia ceratophthalma
Lineage: Eukaryota; Metazoa; Arthropoda; Malacostraca; Decapoda; Palaemonidae
Description: partial 16S ribosomal RNA
Rfam family: Bacterial large subunit ribosomal RNA
Source: RNAcentral